This 218-nucleotide ribosomal RNA is filed under the name Tenuibacillus multivorans. RNAcentral's name for it is "partial 16S rRNA. Bacterial SSU". It matches the Rfam family "Bacterial small subunit ribosomal RNA", at positions 1 to 199 of the family's 1533-position model. Lineage: Bacteria; Bacillati; Bacillota; Bacilli; Caryophanales; Bacillaceae. The record is from RNAcentral.
CUUUUAUGGAGAGUUUGAUCCUGGCUCAGGACGAACGCUGGCGGCGUGCCUAAUACAUGCAAGUCGAGCGCGGGAAGCAGACAGAAUCCUUCGGGAGGACGUUUGUGGAACGAGCGGCGGACGGGUGAGUAACACGUGGGCAACCUGCCUGUAAGACUGGGAUAACUCCGGGAAACCGGGGCUAAUACCGGAUAAUUCAUCGAAUCGCAUGAUUCGAU